Molecule: long non-coding RNA, 370 nt
Organism: Cotesia glomerata
Lineage: Eukaryota; Metazoa; Arthropoda; Insecta; Hymenoptera; Braconidae
Exons: 3
Source: RefSeq, a predicted model, not a curated record
UGUAAAUAUUAACAACCACGUUUUACAAUAGUUUUAUGAUAAUUUAAGUAUUUUUUUUUAAACCUUUAGGUGGCAUUGGUGCAAUAAGGAAUAUUUAUGAAAGCACGACAAAAAUUGUUCCUGGUGCUGUAACAUUUCAAAAUACAGAAGCAAUGAUCAAGAUGUCAACAAUAAGUCCAGUUGGCACAUUAGCUUAUAUUAUUGACGAGGAAGCGUUAUUAGUUCGCGUUAAUAAUGGAUGGCAGUAUAUUGCACUUGGAACGCUUUUAUCAACAUCGACUCGAGCUACUGUGACGCCAGCAUUGUCCAACCCACCAUUUGAAGCUUCAAAUCUUAUUAACCAAUUGCCAAUAAGAACGGAUGGUAGUGG